Molecule: ribosomal RNA, 433 nt
Filed under: uncultured bacterium
Lineage: Bacteria
Description: partial 16S ribosomal RNA
Rfam family: Bacterial small subunit ribosomal RNA
Source: RNAcentral
AACGAACGCUGGCGGCAUGCCUAACACAUGCAAGUCGAACGAGACCUUCGGGUCUAGUGGCGCACGGGUGCGUAACGCGUGGGAACCUGCCCUUAGGUUCGGAAUAACUCCCCGAAAGGGGUGCUAAUACCGGAUAAUGUCUUCGGACCACAGAUUUAUCGCCUUUGGAUGGGCCCGCGUUGGAUUAGCUAGUUGGUAGGGUAAAAGCCUACCACGGCGACGAUCCAUAGCUGGUCUGAGAGGAUGAGCAGCCACACUGGGACUGAGACACGGCGCAGACUCCUACGGGAGGCAGGAGUGGGGAAUAUUGGACAAUGGGCGAAAGCCUGAUCCAGCAAUGCCGCGUGAGUGAUGAAGGCCUGAGGGUUGUAAAGCUCGUUUACCCGGGAUGAUAAUGACAGUACCGGGAGAAUAAGCUCCGGCUAACUCCGUG